This 544-nucleotide unclassified non-coding RNA is filed under the name Hevea brasiliensis (rubber tree). The record is from RNAcentral. Lineage: Eukaryota; Viridiplantae; Streptophyta; Magnoliopsida; Malpighiales; Euphorbiaceae.
CGCAGGCAUUAUCCUGUUCAGGUGCAAAGGGACUUUCUCAGCCAGUUCGGCUGUCUUGGCAUAAAUUGCCAUGGACCUACUGCAUAAAUAAAGACUGCUUAUAACGACCACUAAAGACACCAAAUCAUGCUCAACAUCCAGCUCCAUUAAGCUUCAACCAGAGCGAAGAAGUCCAAGAGUUCCUUUAUUGGCGCUUAACAUAACUCUCUGGCACAUAGAUUUCACCCCCAACUUCACCAUGCUGUUCUCCACUGACAGUUUUCUUGGCAGCCAAAAACGCCGCACUCAUAGCAUCCAUUCCGUCUUGCACAACCUCUUCUGCACUCCCGUACCCAUGCUCCUCAGCAUACUUCCUCACAUCUUCAGUUAUUUUCAUAGAACAAAACUUGGGACCACACAUAGAGCAGAAAUGGGCCACCUUGGCACCCUCUGAUGGAAGAGAUUCAUCGUGAAAAGCCAUGGCAGUCAUAGGGUCCAACGACAAAGCAAACUGGUCCAACCAUCUAAACUCAAACCUCGCCUUGCUUAGAGCAUCAUCCCAUGC